UAAAAUGGAAAGACCUGGUGAUGCGAUCACUGCAUUACAACAGGCUCGAGAAUUACAAGCUCGGGUACUAAAACGUGUUCAGAUGGAACAGCCAGAUGCAGUUCCUGCACAGAAACAUUUAGCAGCUGAAAUUUGUGCAGAGAUUGCAAAACAUUCUGUUGCUCAGCGAGACUAUGAAAAAGCAAUUAAGUUUUAUAGAGAGGCUCUGGUUCACUGUGAAACAGAUAAUAAGAUUAUGUUGGAACUGGCACGAUUAUACCUGGCACAAGAUGACCCUGAUUCCUGCCUGCGGCAGUGUGCUCUACUGCUUCAGAGUGACCAGGAUAAUGAAGCUGCUACCAUGAUGAUAGCUGAUCUCAUGUUCAGAAAACAAGACUAUGAACAAGCAGUGUUUCAUUUACAGCAGCUUUUAGAACGUAAGCCAGGUAAAUACCUACUGAUUGUAUUUUUUGAGUGCAGUCACCCCUCCCUUUCUCCUUUUUC
RNAcentral lists this small RNA (483 nucleotides) under Pongo abelii (Sumatran orangutan). RNAcentral describes it as "retained intron". Lineage: Eukaryota; Metazoa; Chordata; Mammalia; Primates; Hominidae. The record is from RNAcentral.